UCGCCCACAAUGCCUUCAACGGUUUCAACACGGAUGCGGUCUCGUGUGCCAAGUGUGAGCGGACGCGAAGCGCUGCGAGCCAGUCGGUCACGUACCGAAGCCCUUCCGAGGGGCAUCCCUGUUGGAGUCGUUUCCGGCUCCCCGCCGGAUUCGGUUUCAACUUUGGUCUCCUCGCGCUAACCCCGUAGCGUGUGGUUUUUAGCGGGCUCAUAAGCCCGCUUUUUUUCG
Non-coding RNA from Burkholderia dolosa, 228 nucleotides. Lineage: Bacteria; Pseudomonadati; Pseudomonadota; Betaproteobacteria; Burkholderiales; Burkholderiaceae. The record is from Rfam.